CCUACGGGAGGCAGCAGUCGGGAAUAUUGCGCAAUGGAGGAAACUCUGACGCAGUGACGCCGCGUAUAGGAAGAAGGUUUUCGGAUUGUAAACUAUUGUCGUGAGGGAAGAAAUUGACAGUACCUCAGGAGGAAGCUCCGGCUAACUAUGUGCCAGCAGCCGCGGUAAUA
RNAcentral lists this ribosomal RNA (170 nucleotides) under uncultured Eubacteriales bacterium. RNAcentral describes it as "uncultured Clostridiales bacterium partial 16S ribosomal RNA". It matches the Rfam family "Bacterial small subunit ribosomal RNA", at positions 338 to 525 of the family's 1533-position model. The record is from RNAcentral. Lineage: Bacteria; Bacillati; Bacillota; Clostridia; Eubacteriales.